Molecule: long non-coding RNA, 1757 nt
Filed under: Phasianus colchicus (ring-necked pheasant)
Lineage: Eukaryota; Metazoa; Chordata; Aves; Galliformes; Phasianidae
Description: lncRNA (ENSPCLG00000002809.1)
Source: RNAcentral
GAAAAAUAAAUAGUACUGAAUGUUUGGUGUCGACUUGAGUUGAAGAGGAAGUCUGGAGGAAGAGCACCCUUAAUAUUAUGAUGUUAUAGGAAAGCAGAUAAGGGAAAGUUAAAGUUGCACAUGUACUGCUUUCAGUCUGAAUGCCAAUGUGUCGAUUUCACUGGAUAUAAUAAACAUAGAAUGAAGUCCUUACAACACAGAAGAUAACCUUUCAGCCUGGUGUCAGCAGUAGGUCUGGUUCAUAUGGAUGUUACCACCCAUGGUCUCUGCUUUCUGAGGAGGAAGAUCCCAUGCCUCAUCACCCCCCAUUUAUUGUGGAACUUGCUAUGUUUGAUAAUGAAGGAGGUUCACACAUUUGGAGCAGCUCCUGCACAUCUCUACACAUCUCACCAAGCUCUCCUGAGUGCAGAGGAGCAGGCAACUCCUCCUUCAUCACCCCUUGAAGUACACUGGGGUACUUCAGCAGCGCUGACUUUCACCCCACUUCGAAGGCAGUUCUGUGCCCAGCUCAGCUGCCGCAGCCUGAACUUUCAGUGCUGGUACCAGAGGAUGCUGAACGUGGUGUUGCAUGAUCUGGAGCUCACAUGGGCCACGUGGGGCUCAGCCAGUUGCAGAAGCUCAGCAAGCCCCAGUCCUACGGCUGACUUACCAUACAGUGGAGACUUCAGCCUCUCUGGGCAUUGCAGCAUGCUUUAAUACCAACCUACAUGCAAACGGAGUUUUCGGAGUGCAAACAUGAUUUAUAACCUGCUUAGUCCCAUCUUUGCAUGAGGAAUAGGAAUGAAGGCAGGCUUUAAGCAUUCUGACCUGGGCAUGAAUUCCUGAUCUAAGACCAACUUCUCCUCUGUUUCUCAUGUAAUUAGUCUCACCGAGAUGUGCUGGAACAUUUGAGAAGUCUUUGAGUGGAUAAUAGCUUGCAUAUUCCUUUUGCCCACAGCAUGAGCAGAAAAAUCUUCAUGCUGGCAUUCCUGGAAAUGUUAUCUGAAUAAUUCUUUUAUUCAUGUUUGGACACAAAUGAUAUUUUGAAGGUUAGCACGUGUGAGGCUAUUGCUAGUUGCUUUAUUUAGAGGAUAUACACAAAUAAGGACUCUGUAACUAAAGACAGGAUAUCUAGAGCCAAAUGCAUCUAUGGGAACUCCAGCAGCACAUUUUUGCUGGGUCCUUGAACCACUGUGGUGUUGCAGCUUUUAUCUUCUCUCAGUGACAUUACUCUGGAUUUGCAGGGACUUGGAAAAUUUCCCUUCAGGCUUGAUUUGGGGAGCCCUCUGAUUAUAGAAUUGAUUUCUGUUUUUUCAGAAUUCUUGCUGAUCAUCCCAAUAGUUGAACUGGUGGAGAACACAAAACUCAAAGCUACAUAAAGCUAAGAAAGCCAUAUUUAUUUACAUGCUUCAAACAUAAAACUGGGAAUACUGUUUUGAUCAAUGAUUCUGUGUGAAUUUCAUUAGACAUGGAAACCAAUGAGUUUUCUUAGCAGUAUCUGCAAUACAGAUGCGAUCCACUGGGAACUGUGAAAACGUAGCUCAUUUUUUCAUAGGGUACUCAACACCCAUGUGAACAGUAGUAUCUUUCAGGAUCAGUACUGGCCCCAAAUGACAAGGUCAUGAUGAAAGGUGCCAUCUCCUCUUCGUCCUGCCUUUGCAACAUGAGGAGGAAUGAAGGAGCAAAUAUUGCAAUCUCUGAAUUUGACAUAUCCCAGAAAUGUCCUGUCUUCCCCUUAUGGAGGGCUGUAAAUAAAACACAACUUACUUACUAAGACA